UAAAAAGCCCUUUAAACACAAAGG
This 24-nucleotide transfer RNA is filed under the name Rhinella manu. Its description in RNAcentral is "partial tRNA-Phe". The record is from RNAcentral. Lineage: Eukaryota; Metazoa; Chordata; Amphibia; Anura; Bufonidae.